UUGAACGCUGGCGGCAGGCCUAACACAUGCAAGUCGAGCGGAUGAAGGGAGCUUGCUCCUGGAUUCAGCGGCGGACGGGUGAGUAAUGCCUAGGAAUCUGCCUGGUAGUGGGGGAUAACGUCCGGAAACGGGCGCUAAUACCGCAUACGUCCUGAGGGAGAAAGUGGGGGAUCUUCGGACCUCACGCUAUCAGAUGAGCCUAGGUCGGAUUAGCUAGUUGGUGGGGUAAAGGCCUACCAAGGCGACGAUCCGUAACUGGUCUGAGAGGAUGAUCAGUCACACUGGAACUGAGACACGGUCCAGACUCCUACGGGAGGCAGCAGUGGGGAAUAUUGGACAAUGGGCGAAAGCCUGAUCCAGCCAUGCCGCGUGUGUGAAGAAGGUCUUCGGAUUGUAAAGCACUUUAAGUUGGGAGGAAGGGCAGUAAGUUAAUACCUUGCUGUUUUGACGUUACCAACAGAAUAAGCACCGGCUAACUUUGUG
This 483-nucleotide ribosomal RNA is filed under the name uncultured bacterium. RNAcentral's name for it is "partial 16S ribosomal RNA". It matches the Rfam family "Bacterial small subunit ribosomal RNA", at positions 30 to 507 of the family's 1533-position model. The record is from RNAcentral.